Molecule: signal recognition particle RNA, 97 nt
Filed under: Bacteroidota bacterium
Lineage: Bacteria; Pseudomonadati; Bacteroidota
Also listed under: 1 other name
Description: signal recognition particle sRNA small type
Rfam family: Bacteroidales small SRP
About the family: The non-coding component of the signal recognition particle in Bacteroides
Source: RNAcentral
GGGUAAGUCUUAUACGACCAGCUCCCUAAAACCCUCCAGGUACGGAAGUAAGCAAAGGUAAUAGGUUGAGCGGUGCGAUAUGAGUAGCUUACCCCUU